GAACCUUGGAGCUUGCUCUAAGGGGAUCAGUGGCGAACGGGUGAGUAACACGUGAGUAACCUGCCCCGGACUCUGGAAUAAGCGCUGGAAACGGCGUCUAAUACCGGAUACGAGACGCAACCGCAUGGUUAGUGUCUGGAAAGUUUUUCGGUCUGGGAUGGACUCGCGGCCUAUCAGCUUGUUGGUGAGGUAAUGGCUCACCAAGGCGACGACGGGUAGCCGGCCUGAGAGGGCGACCGGCCACACUGGGACUGAGACACGGCCCAGACUCCUACGGGAGGCAGCAGUGGGGAAUAUUGCACAAUGGGCGAAAGCCUGAUGCAGCGACGCCGCGUGAGGGAUGACGGCCUUCGGGUUGUAAACCUCUUUCAGCAGGGAAGAAGCGAAAGUGACGGUACCUGCAGAAGAAGCACCGGCUAACUACGUGCCAGCAGCCGCGGUAAUACGUAGGGUGCGAGCGUUGUCCGGAAUUAUUGGGCGUAAAGAGCUUGUAGGCGGUUUGUCGCGUCUGCUGUGAAAAUCCGGGGCUCAACCCCGGACUUGCAGUGGGUACGGGCAGACUAGAGUGUGGUAGGGGAGACUGGAAUUCCUGGUGUAGCGGUGAAAUGCGCAGAUAUCAGGAGGAACACCGAUGGCGAAGGCAGGUCUCUGGGCCACUACUGACGCUGAGAAGCGAAAGCAUGGGGAGCGAACAGGAUUAGAUACCCUGGUAGUCCAUGCCGUAAACGU
This 729-nucleotide ribosomal RNA is filed under the name Janibacter sp. YIM 61525. RNAcentral's name for it is "bacterial SSU rRNA". It matches the Rfam family "Bacterial small subunit ribosomal RNA", at positions 68 to 809 of the family's 1533-position model. Lineage: Bacteria; Bacillati; Actinomycetota; Actinomycetes; Micrococcales; Intrasporangiaceae. The record is from RNAcentral.